Molecule: long non-coding RNA, 684 nt
Filed under: Brassica napus (rape)
Lineage: Eukaryota; Viridiplantae; Streptophyta; Magnoliopsida; Brassicales; Brassicaceae
Description: long non-coding RNA (BNAP_LNC001574)
Source: RNAcentral
CAUGUCCACAAUCUUAGAAACCAGACACUGAAAGCUUGAUAAGAUUGUUCCCAAGGAUACCAUUUUCACUCCACAAGGAACUCAAAGAAGCUACAAUUUUGGCUCUGUUUUCUUAAGAGAUUAGAAACAUAAGCAUUAAGCAAACAGUUUUGGCUCCUUGAUGUUCUCAGCAAUUCUUCAGUACUCAUCUCCACUUUCUUUUUGCUCAAAAAUAUCAAAAAUCUCCAUUUGUGCUUUAAGUAGAACUUCAUACCAGCAAAAGUAUAUUGUCUCAGGCCUGCAACUAGCAGUCGCCUACUGCUUGGCAGAACUGGUUCCAGAGCAUUCAGUAACGAGUUAAUGUCUGACGCUGCCUUCUCCAAUGACAUGAAUAUUUUUCAGUGAACUCUUCUCAUCAAGCUUUAUCAUCACUGAACACACCAACUCACUGCAUUCAAGAAAAACUCCAACUCCAAGAGCAGUAGUUACCAUCUCUUGCCAACAAGCAUCCAUAUCUCCAAAAGGCGUUGAGAACAACAUGUCAUUGUUCUUAUCUUUGCUGGUUCUGAUCUUAUGUGGUCGUUGUUGCACCACAUGCACCCUCUGAUUCACAUAAAAAAACUCUGAUUUCCAAACCAACACUAAAACAGGGCUUCCAUUUAUCAUGGUCAGUCAAUACUCCACCGGGUUCCCACAUUCGUUUAU